UACGUAGGGUGCAAGCGUUGUCCGGAAUUAUUGGGCGUAAAGAGCGUGUAGGCGGCUCGAUAAGUCCGCUGUGAAAGUCCAGAACUCAACCCUGGAAUGCCAAUGGAUACUGUCGGACUAGAGUCCGGAAGGGGCGAGUGGAAUUCCUGGUGUAGCGGUGAAAUGCGCAGAUAUCAGGAGGAAUACCAAUGGCGAAGGCAGCUCGCUGGGACGUGACUGACGCUGAGACGCGAAAGCGUAGGGAGCAAACAGG
RNAcentral lists this ribosomal RNA (253 nucleotides) under uncultured bacterium. Its description in RNAcentral is "partial 16S ribosomal RNA". It matches the Rfam family "Bacterial small subunit ribosomal RNA", at positions 524 to 776 of the family's 1533-position model. The record is from RNAcentral.